Mauremys reevesii (Reeves's turtle) is the source of this 771-nucleotide long non-coding RNA. RefSeq lists it as uncharacterized. The transcript is spliced from 4 exons. The record is from RefSeq and is a predicted model, not a curated record. Lineage: Eukaryota; Metazoa; Chordata; Testudines; Geoemydidae.
UUUAACAGUCUUAUAAACAAACAUGCAGCAAACAACUUUCUUGCUCUUUUCUCUGUUAAAGUAGUGAAAACUGCCUGCCUGAGAAUGGCCUGGAGAUAUGAUUCUUGCAGAGUGAAAAGCACAAGAAAUCCCCAUUCAACAGAACAGUGGCUUGGUCAGGGUUGGGCAGAAUCCUUUGUAUCUUAACCUAUAAGGCUGGCCAUUCACUCCCUGGGGGAUGGGACAACCGCUUGAUUAACAAAGGGCAGUUGAUCAUCUACUCUGUGAGUCUGAAGAAGGAAAGUGAAAGCAUUUUAUGCCAUACUACUUCUAAAAGUCAGAAAUCUGUGCGAACAGCCAAAACCUCCGUAAAAGGGAUCAUCUCUUCCUUCAGAAUCAUCACCAGACUGGGCAACUGCUUUGGCAUUCUGGUGUCAUCCAUCCUCAACACAUGACCAGCCCAGCAUAACGGUGAUGCAAUGAGUAUGGCUUCGAUCCCAGUGGAGUGGCUGCAUUCCAGAACAAUCAAAAGGUCAAAGGGAAGAACUCUAUAUGCAGAACAACAGUUGCACAGGCACAACAGAAGAUCAAGCAACAUAUCAGGUAUUUCCUAAAGGAGGAUGGGAAGCCAACAGGAAGGGAAAAGACAGUAUGAGGUCAUCCUGUCUCUUGAACUAAAGUAACUGAACUUUGAAAGAUACAAGAAAAGACAGAAGACAUCUUUGCCAUCCAUCAUUAGACAGACAAAAGAGGCCAGAGCUCUUUGAAGCUGAGAAAGAUGGGGCCUUUAAC